Molecule: unclassified non-coding RNA, 21 nt
Filed under: Mus musculus (house mouse)
Lineage: Eukaryota; Metazoa; Chordata; Mammalia; Rodentia; Muridae
Description: oocyte_clustered_small_RNA6772
Source: RNAcentral
UCAGACUUUGUAGCAAGGAUG